UAAUACGGAGGAUGCGAGCGUUAUCCGGAUUUAUUGGGUUUAAAGGGUGCGUAGGCGGCUUAGUAAGUCAGCGGUGAAAUUUUGCAGCUUAACUGUAACAGUGCCGUUGAUACUGCCAGGCUAGGAUUUGGUUGCUGUGGGUGGAAUGUGUGGUGUAGCGGUGAAAUGCUUAGAUAUCACACAGAAUAUCGAUUGCGAAGGCAGCUCACAAAGCCAAGAUUGACGCUGAGGCACGAAAGUGUGGGGAUCAAACAGG
RNAcentral lists this ribosomal RNA (256 nucleotides) under uncultured bacterium. Its description in RNAcentral is "partial 16S ribosomal RNA". It matches the Rfam family "Bacterial small subunit ribosomal RNA", at positions 521 to 776 of the family's 1533-position model. The record is from RNAcentral.